GGGUGCCUUGGCGCUCUACCAAGAGCACACCUGAUGCUAGAGGUUUGAUCAGCUGAACACUGCCUUUGAGAGGUCCCAAUGUCCUGACUCUGCUUGGGGAGAAGUCAUGCUUUCUCUGGCAGAAAGAUGAGCAAGGCUUCUUCAACCCCUGACAGAUCAAGGCUGCGAACAUCACUUGACCAACUUACAUCGAAAUUGCAACAACCAGGUUUUGUCCCUGGCCCCACUGGUGGGUGGUAACUAUAUAACCAUUCUGUUCUUAUCCUUUCUUUCUUUUCCCUUAUACGUUUUCUUUAAUGAUAUUUUUAUGUUUUUAUAUUACUGAUAGGAAAGAUGUAUGCUAAUGUCUUUACAAACAAUUCCAUGGGUGAGGGUACGGGUCUUUGAAAUGAGUCUUAAUGUCUCUACCAACUUCAAGCUGCAGGUUUGUUACAGAACAGUUUGACUCCUGAAACAGACAAAUGUAUCUACACAAGCCUGACUUUCUGAACUUUGGAUGGAAAUGAUAUGUUUAAGAGGGGAAUAUGUGGCAGGUAGUUUGGAAAGGCUGUACCUUCCUAGUAUCUCAGCCAGUGAGAUACUAGGUGUGUGUGCCCAGUGGACUCUCUCCCUUUAUUUGAAUAAAGUUGUAGGACUCCUCUGUC
Corvus hawaiiensis (hawaiian crow) is the source of this 644-nucleotide long non-coding RNA. RefSeq lists it as uncharacterized. The record is from RefSeq and is a predicted model, not a curated record. The transcript is spliced from 3 exons. NCBI's taxonomy places the organism in Eukaryota, Metazoa, Chordata, Aves, Passeriformes, Corvidae.